This 511-nucleotide ribosomal RNA is filed under the name Cryptosporidium parvum. Its description in RNAcentral is "SSU rRNA". It matches the Rfam family "Eukaryotic small subunit ribosomal RNA", at positions 549 to 1091 of the family's 1831-position model. Lineage: Eukaryota; Apicomplexa; Conoidasida; Eucoccidiorida; Cryptosporidiidae. The record is from RNAcentral.
UGGAGGGCAAGUCUGGUGCCAGCAGCCGCGGUAAUUCCAGCUCCAAUAGCGUAUAUUAAAGUUGUUGCAGUUAAAAAGCUCGUAGUUGGAUUUCUGUUAAUAAUUUAUAUAAAAUAUUUUGAUGAAUAUUUAUAUAAUAUUAACAUAAUUCAUAUUACUAUUUUUUUUAGUAUAUGAAAUUUUACUUUGAGAAAAUUAGAGUGCUUAAAGCAGGCAUAUGCCUUGAAUACUCCAGCAUGGAAUAAUAUUAAAGAUUUUUAUCUUUCUUAUUGGUUCUAAGAUAAGAAUAAUGAUUAAUAGGGACAGUUGGGGGCAUUUGUAUUUAACAGUCAGAGGUGAAAUUCUUAGAUUUGUUAAAGACAAACUAAUGCGAAAGCAUUUGCCAAGGAUGUUUUCAUUAAUCAAGAACGAAAGUUAGGGGAUCGAAGACGAUCAGAUACCGUCGUAGUCUUAACCAUAAACUAUGCCAACUAGAGAUUGGAGGUUGUUCCUUACUCCUUCAGCACCUUAA